ACGAAGGAUUUGGGAGUGCUCGAAAGAGAACCUGCACACAGGUGCUGCAUGGCUGUCGUCAGCUCGUGUCGUGAGAUGUUGGGUUAAGUCCCGCAACGAGCGCAACCCUUGCCAUUAGUUGCUACAUUCAGUUGGGCACUCUAAUGAGACUGCCGGUGACAAACCGGAGGAAGGUGGGGAUGACGUCAAGUCCUCAUGGCCCUUAUAGGUGGGGCUACACACGUCAUACAAUGGAUGGUACAAAGGGUCGCCAACCCGCGAGGGGGAGCCAAUCCCAUAAAGCCAUUCGUAGUCCGGAUCGCAGUCUGCAACUCGACUGCGUGAAGUCGGAAUCGCUAGUAAUCGUGGAUCAGAAUGUCACGGUGAAUACGUUCCCGGGUCUU
RNAcentral lists this ribosomal RNA (383 nucleotides) under uncultured Comamonas sp. RNAcentral's name for it is "bacterial SSU rRNA". It matches the Rfam family "Bacterial small subunit ribosomal RNA", at positions 998 to 1382 of the family's 1533-position model. The record is from RNAcentral. Lineage: Bacteria; Pseudomonadati; Pseudomonadota; Betaproteobacteria; Burkholderiales; Comamonadaceae.